GUGGUGAUGGGGUUGGAUCAUAACUUCCACCAUUUCCACUACCUGAUGGUGGUGAUGGGGUUGGAUUAUAGCUUCCACCACCUGGGGUAGUUGAUGGUGUUGGAUUGUAACUGUCACCACUUCCACUACUUGAGGGUGGUGAUGGGGUUGGAUCAUAACUUCCACCAUUUCCACUACCUAAUGGUGGUGAUGGGGUUGGAUUAUAGCUUCCACCACCUGGGGGAGUUGAUGGUGUUGGAUUGUAACUACCACCACUUCCACUAUCUAAGGGUGGUGAUGGGGUUAGAUCAUAGCUUCCACCACUUGGGGGAGUUGAUGGCGUUGGAUUGUAACUACCACCACUUCCACUAUCUAAGGGUGGUGAUGGGGUUGGAUCAUAGCUUCCACCACCUGGAGGAGUUGAUGGUGUUGGAUUGUAACUACAGGUAGUUGAUGGUGUUGGAUUGUAACUGUCACCACUUCCACUACUUGAGGGUGGUGAUGGGGUUGGAUCAUAACUUCCACCAUUUCCACUACCUGAUGGUGGUGAUGGGGUUGGAUUAUAGCUUCCACCACCUGGGGUAGUUGAUGGUGUUGGAUUGUAACUGUCACCACUUCCACUACUUGAGGGUGG
RNAcentral lists this long non-coding RNA (613 nucleotides) under Lupinus angustifolius (narrow-leaved blue lupine). Its description in RNAcentral is "long non-coding RNA (LANG_LNC001740)". Lineage: Eukaryota; Viridiplantae; Streptophyta; Magnoliopsida; Fabales; Fabaceae. The record is from RNAcentral.